Molecule: long non-coding RNA, 638 nt
Organism: Olea europaea var. sylvestris
Lineage: Eukaryota; Viridiplantae; Streptophyta; Magnoliopsida; Lamiales; Oleaceae
Exons: 2
Source: RefSeq, a predicted model, not a curated record
UCUUUUCGCUUCAAACUUGUGUUCUUCUCGUGUCCAUGCUUGUUUCUCAAGUAUAUCCAUCCAUUUCUCUCUCUCUCUCUCUCUCAAUAUUUAUAUAAAGAUUUAUCUCACUAAGAAACAAUGCAUAUAAGAACAGUUCCUUCUUGGAACAGUUCCUUCUUGGCCCCCAACAUCUCCCUGGACCCUGGUAAUUUCUCAUAGGAGCAAAUACGAUUAGGUCGCCAUGGAGAAGCAGAAUUCAGAGCUGUACUUGAAGAACUGCCAUAUUUUUCUUGAAAAUGAGAGGCUAAGGAAGAAAGCGCAACGGCUCGACCAGGAGAAUCGGGCUUUGUUAUCUGAGCUGCAGCACAGACUUUCAGAAGCAAAUUCAGCACAAAAAAAUGAAUUUGGUAUCAACACCACACCAAAAAAUUCUACGACAGAUCGUAGGAAGUCCAACAAGCCUUGAUCAACUCAUCCCCCGGCCCAUGUAAUGAAUGAGUUUCGUGUAAAAUAAGGUUUAUCUGUAAUGUUUGAUUCUUUGAAGUAUCCAUGAUCAUGCCUUGAAACUUGUUUGGAUAAUUUGUGAGACGGAAUAAUGUAAUAAAUAUUAAAUGUUUGUUUUCGUGAAUAAACAGAGCUACUAAAAUUCGCCAUUA